GACGAACGCUGGCGGCGUGCCUAAUACAUGCAAGUCGAACGCAUUUUCUUUCACCGUAGCUUGCUACACCGAAAGAAAAUGAGUGGCGAACGGGUGAGUAACACGUGGGUAACCUGCCCAUCAGCGGGGGAUAACACUUGGAAACAGGUGCUAAUACCGCAUAAUUCCAUUUACCGCAUGGUAGAUGGAUGAAAGGCGCUUUUGCGUCACUGAUGGAUGGACCCGCGGUGCAUUAGCUAGUUGGUGGGGUAACGGCCUACCAAGGCUGCGAUGCAUAGCCGACCUGAGAGGGUGAUCGGCCACACUGGGACUGAGACACGGCCCAGACUCCUACGGGAGGCAGCAGUAGGGAAUCUUCGGCAAUGGACGCAAGUCUGACCGAGCAACGCCGCGUGAGUGAAGAAGGUUUUCGGAUCGCAAAACUCUGUUGUUAGAGAAGAACAAGGAUGAGAGUGGAAAGUUCAUCCCUUGACGGUAUCUAACCAGAAAGCCACGGCUAACUACGUG
Molecule: ribosomal RNA, 507 nt
Filed under: uncultured bacterium
Lineage: Bacteria
Description: partial 16S ribosomal RNA
Rfam family: Bacterial small subunit ribosomal RNA
Source: RNAcentral